CUGGGAAACGAAGCUAAUUACAUAAGAAAGAAGAUAAUGCAAACCCUCCAGAUAGCAAAUAGAGACAAGGAUUUCACAAGCCAAGGCCUGGUGCUUGGUAAACAUUGAGUGAACACAGGAUGAAAAACCAGGUGAACAAAUAAAUGAAAACUGUAUGUGGACAGAUUCGAGGACCACACAUUACUGUACAGUGUGGAGGACCUCACUCCUAAAGAAGGGAUGGUGGCUGCCUUACAUCUAUAAACUGAGCAUCAGAAAAAAAAAAAAAUCAAGAAAUAUAAAUUCAAAGCAAAAUCAGCCAUUUUGAAAAGCCGGUCAUGUCACAUUGACAUCUCCAAGAAAGGUUUGACUAAAAUCCAGUUCUCAGGAAGCUACUCCAGUGCAGAGUGUAAAGACUUGAACUUUGUGAGAGGAGGAACAGUAUCCUUUCUCAUCUCUGAGACCUUCCCCAGUGCUUACAACAUCCUGCAUGCACAGCAGAGAUGGGAUGAGUAGUUAAUAAUAAAGAUGACAAUGACCAUUCUGCUCAUCUGGAAGAUGAGGACCUGAAUCAAGCACCAUGUCAGAGCACUCUCUGAUGACAACCAGUGAAUGGAGAAGAUCCUGCAGGGAAGGAAGCAAAGAGAGGCAAGCGUCCAAACAAUCCAAGAGCCAACAUCCCUGGGCUGCCCUCCUGCUCUGAGCUCGUGGCACUCGACUUCCUCAACUGAAAGGAGGAACCGUCGCAGGCAGGCUUACAGUGUGCGUCCUCCCCAGCAUCCUGCUCCAGGGUCCAAAGCCAGACUACACCUGUGUCCCGCGGACACCCCGCAGGGACCCUGCAGCUGCUAGGCUACGUGGACUGCCCUGCAGUGCUAUGGCUCAGGCCCGCAGCGAGCCUCGCGGGCUUCUGGCCUGAGGUCCACCCCCAGCCACAGGCCACUGCCCGGGAGCCACCCCUUGUUUUCAUAAAACACACGCCCAGUCGUUGUGCACAUUUGCUAGUUGUCCUGGGCCUUCUCUGUUUUGAUCCAAGCGGGGAUGCAGAGUCUGCUGCAAAUUCGCUGUGUUAGGGGCCUCCCGGCUGCUGUCGCCUUACUCUGGGAUGAUGGGAGGGUCGCCUCUGUACUCAUGGUUCUUCUCCAGUCUCCCGACUUUGGCGAGGCACCAGGUGUUUUCUCUAAGGCUGGAGCCAGGGUUUGUUCCUUACCACUCUGAGAAGCUGUUGUUGUUGUUGUUGUUAUUGUUGUUGUUGUUGUUGUUAAUAAUAAAGUUGCUUCCCCAGCCUUCCCCAGGGACCAACUGAACCACACCCUUUUCUUCUCCUCCAGAAUAGAUGAAACCACAGACCAAAGCCCUUUGGUUGCUUCUGCCAACUCCAAAUGGGCUCAGACCCACAAAAGCCGAAA
This 1388-nucleotide long non-coding RNA is filed under the name Cricetulus griseus (Chinese hamster). RNAcentral's name for it is "lncRNA (ENSCGRG00015040988.1)". Lineage: Eukaryota; Metazoa; Chordata; Mammalia; Rodentia; Cricetidae. The record is from RNAcentral.